UUUUAAAUAAACUUCGUUUGUUUGCAGUGCAAACAACAUACUAUUAAGUUAACUAGCUUUAUGUAAAAUAAAUAUUGAUUUGUAUAUUUAAAAUAAAUAUUGUUGUGCAUUUUAAAUGUGUGCUUUUGUAUUUCUCUUUAUCAAAAAGUCUUCCAAACAAUAUAUUUGUAUCAAAAACUCAACUGUUCUUCGUAAUUAUCACCCACCAGAAAAGCAACAUCCAUGUCCUAAUCAAGUACAUGUGUCACACUUAUCGUGUAUGUCACUGUCCGUAGGCCAGUCUUCAGUGGAUAAACUAUUUUUCUUAUUUUAUGGUCUUCACUCUCUAGAAAAUAAAUCAAAUUGCAAAGAGAGGAAGAAGUUAAGAAAUCUUGAUUAUUGAAAUGGAGAAACGUAACAAGACACGAGUGAUUCUCUUCCCUCUACCAUUACAAGGAUGCAUAAACCCUAUGCUUCAGCUAGCAAAGAUCCUAUUCUCGAGAGGCUUCUCAAUCACGAUCAUCCACACGCUCUUCAACGCGCCUAAAUCUUCAGACCACCCUCUCUUCACUUUCCUACAGAUCCCCGACGGUUUGUCCGAAUCUCAGACGCAGUCUCGCGAUGUCCUGCUUCAGCUCACGCUCCUCAACAACAACUGCGAGAACCCGUUACGUGAGUGUUUGACUAAACUCAUCAAAGGUUCAGGAACAGAGGAAGGUGGUGAGAUCAGCUGUUUGAUCGAUGACUCCGGGUGGGUUUUCACGCAGUCCGUCGCGGAUAGUUUCAAUCUCCCGAGAUUCGUCCUCUGUGCGUAUAAGUUCACGUUCUUUCUCCGACAUCUGCUUGUCCCUCAGCUUCGCCGUGAAGGGUUUCUUCCGUUUCCAGAUUCCGAAGCAGAGGACUCUGUUCCGACGUUUCAACCGCUUCGAAAGAAAGAUCUCGCGAGAAUCAUGGGAAACAAAGAUCAGGCUGAGCCGCUGGAUGAUUACUUGUUCAAGAUACUCGAGACGACGAAGCCAGCUUCGGGGCUCAUAGUCAUGUCCUGCGAAGAGCUCGACAGAGAUUCGCUUUCCGAGUCCCACAAAGUCUUCACCUUUCCUAUAUACCCUAUUGGCCCACCUCACAUCCAUGACGUCCCAGCUUCGUCUAGCAGCUUGUUCGAACCGGACCAGAGCUGCAUUCCUUGGUUAAAUACGCGCGAAACGAGAUCAGUUAUCUACGUGAGCUUAGGGAGUAUAGUGACAAUCACCGAGUCUCAGUUCUUGGAGAUUGCUUGCGGCUUAAGGCAAACCAACCUAUCUUUCUUGUGGGUUGUUAGGCCUGGUUCGGUCCAGGGCAGAGACUGGAUCGAGUCAUUACCAUCAGGGUUCAUGGACGGGAAGGGAAAGAUAGUGAAAUGGGCACCGCAGCUAGAUGUUCUCGCGCAUAGAGCUACGGGUGGGUUUUUGACUCAUAAUGGAUGGAACUCGACGCUAGAGAGUAUAUGCGAAGGUGUUCCUAUGAUCAGCUUGCCUUUUGUGUGGGACCAGUUACUUAACGCGAGGUUCGUUAGCGAUGUGUGGAGGAUAGGGAUUCACUUGGAAGGUCGCAUAGAGAGAAGAGAAAUCGAGAGAGCUGUGACAAGACUAAUGGUUGAACCUGAAGGAGAAGAGAUUCGAGAGAGAGUUAAUGUGUUGCGAGAUGAAGUAAGAAGAUCUGUUCAACGAGGAGGCUCGUCAUCUCGGUAUCUAGAUGAGCUGGUUGAUCGUAUUACAUCAUUUUAGCUUCGUAGUUUAAAAGAGUUCGUUCAACUGGGAAUGAUCAUGUCCAUUGUGCUUCCUGUUUGAAUAACUGUUGAGACAAAUCUAAAAUUAUAUGUUGUGGUUUGGAGAAUUAUUGGAUUGGGCCUCGAACCUCCCAAAAAAAUAUAUAUAAAAAAUAGUGUGAUAUGUUCUAAAUGACUCUUGAACCUGCUUAAAGGACUA
Brassica rapa (field mustard) is the source of this 1943-nucleotide RNA transcript. It is a transcript of the gene named UDP-glycosyltransferase 76C1, with no coding region annotated. The record is from RefSeq and is a predicted model, not a curated record. NCBI's taxonomy places the organism in Eukaryota, Viridiplantae, Streptophyta, Magnoliopsida, Brassicales, Brassicaceae.